Molecule: ribosomal RNA, 253 nt
Filed under: uncultured bacterium
Lineage: Bacteria
Description: partial 16S ribosomal RNA
Rfam family: Bacterial small subunit ribosomal RNA
Source: RNAcentral
UACGAAGGGGGCUAGCGUUGCUCGGAAUCACUGGGCGUAAAGGGUGCGUAGGCGGGUCUUUAAGUCAGGGGUGAAAUCCUGGAGCUCAACUCCAGAACUGCCUUUGAUACUGAAGAUCUUGAGUUCGGGAGAGGUGAGUGGAACUGCGAGUGUAGAGGUGAAAUUCGUAGAUAUUCGGAAGAACACCGGUGGCGAAGGCGGCCAACUGGACCAUUACUGACGCUGAGGCGCGAAAGCGUGGGGAGCAAACAGG